UACGUAGGGUGCGAGCGUUAAUCGGAAUUACUGGGCGUAAAGCGUGCGCAGGCGGUGAUGUAAGACAGUUGUGAAAUCCCCCGGGCUCAACCUGGGAACUGCAUCUGUGACUGCAUCGCUGGAGUGCGGCAGAGGGGGGAUGGAAUUCCGCGUGUAGCAGUGAAAUGCGUAGAUAUGCGGAGGAACACCGAUGGCGAAGGGCAAUCCCCUGGGCCUGCACUGACGCUCAUGCACGAAAGCGUGGGGAGCAAACAGG
Molecule: ribosomal RNA, 256 nt
Filed under: uncultured bacterium
Lineage: Bacteria
Description: partial 16S ribosomal RNA
Rfam family: Bacterial small subunit ribosomal RNA
Source: RNAcentral